Anopheles stephensi (Asian malaria mosquito) is the source of this 947-nucleotide long non-coding RNA. RefSeq lists it as uncharacterized. The transcript has 3 exons. Lineage: Eukaryota; Metazoa; Arthropoda; Insecta; Diptera; Culicidae. The record is from RefSeq and is a predicted model, not a curated record.
UGCUUAACCGAUUCGCAUUCGAUCCCAAUAGUGGCUGGAGUUAAGAUCGUGUCGGUUAAGCUACUCAACAGCCCCCUUAACAGUUGAAGUCGCGAUGAAGUGCGUGUGGCUUGUUUUGCUCAGUUUAUUAGCAAUUUUUACGGUACAUGAGUGCCUCACAGUGUUGCUGCCGCCUCCAAACUUUUGCCCACAAGGACAGCGCCGGGACCAUCGGGGCGUGUGCCGCCAAAUCUUUGAUUGGCACGACUUUGAUGCAAUCAGUGCGUAACAACGCAGCAAAACACAUCACUCAAGCCGUGAGCUGCUUGGCGGUGAAGUGUUCGAAUGACCCUGUGUUCCAUCGUGUGUGAGACUCAGUGAGAGGAGUUUAAAUUAAUUUUUAAAGUCAAAACAUUGUUAAAAAUGUGCGUUAAAAAAGCGGUCGUUACUUAAAAGAUUCCUCUUCAAUUAUUCUAUUGAUGACAACACAACCAGAGUUUAGUGUUAAAUCGUUCAACCGUGCAAAUUUAAUUCAGUAUAAGUGAUAAGGAAAAAAGAGCUGCAAAAAACACACUGUCGGUGGUCAAAGCUUUUUGCGGAGCUAAUUUCUUAAGACCUAAGCAUCGAUCAUGGAUUUAGAGGCUUGCUAAGUCUCCCUCUCAGUCGCAAAGCCGCCAUUUUAUUAUAUCGUCCAAACCCCCGGUUCCUGCCUAACGUUGUGCAACGCUGCCAACGAGCUGUCAGCUUUAGGACAGACUAAUUGAAUUAUUUACCACCACUGCAACAAUCUUGCCAUCCGCCAAACCCGUCCGGCAAAACGGGUUGGGUGAAUGAUGAGUUCAUUUUCUGCUGCUGCAUCGAUUCAUUGGACGGUGGAUUUAAAUGGUUCGCGCGCGCUGCUCCCAAACCACUGCCACCGGAGCCGCUGGACCAUAAAUUAUGCACAUUGCUGUUUAGGAGUUCAUUAA